This 75-nucleotide transfer RNA is filed under the name Actinacidiphila glaucinigra. RNAcentral describes it as "tRNA-Pro". It matches the Rfam family "tRNA". Rfam says of the family: Transfer RNA (tRNA) molecules are approximately 80 nucleotides in length. Their secondary structure includes four short double-helical elements and three loops (D, anti-codon, and T loops). The record is from RNAcentral. Lineage: Bacteria; Bacillati; Actinomycetota; Actinomycetes; Kitasatosporales; Streptomycetaceae. RNAcentral also lists the same sequence under 2 other names.
GCACCGGGAAGCUCAGUUGGUGGAGCGCCCGGCUCGGGACCGGGUGGACGCAGGUUCGAGCCCUGCCCCGGUGCC